Molecule: long non-coding RNA, 216 nt
Filed under: Elaeis guineensis (African oil palm)
Lineage: Eukaryota; Viridiplantae; Streptophyta; Magnoliopsida; Arecales; Arecaceae
Description: long non-coding RNA (EGUI_LNC048763)
Source: RNAcentral
UUGGGGAUUGAGCCAAGUACCAACAUGAAGAGUCGACACCACUGUUCUUGGGAGUAAUUUCAGUGAUUUAUUUUUCAAAUAUAAAGAGCUCACGAUAGCUAGGAGUUGUCUCCUCUUGGGAAGGAGUCAUCUCAUCACUAGCAAGUUGAAUGGCAUAACAGUUAGAAAUGGCCACCUACUAUUCAAUGGCUACAAACAGCAAUCCUAGCCUCUCCG